AGGCCUAAGGGCCCUUCAAGCCCAAAAAUCUGACUUGCAAUCAGACACACUAUUAGACC
Molecule: transfer RNA, 59 nt
Filed under: Ctenophorus rubens
Lineage: Eukaryota; Metazoa; Chordata; Lepidosauria; Squamata; Agamidae
Description: tRNA-Cys
Source: RNAcentral